RNAcentral lists this ribosomal RNA (555 nucleotides) under Entamoeba bovis. RNAcentral describes it as "SSU rRNA". It matches the Rfam family "Eukaryotic small subunit ribosomal RNA", at positions 7 to 584 of the family's 1831-position model. The record is from RNAcentral. Lineage: Eukaryota; Evosea; Mastigamoebida; Endamoebidae.
GUUGAUCCUUCCCAUAUUAUAUUGUUAUGUUUAAGGAUUAACCCUUCAAGUGUUAAUUUAAAGGCCCAGUAGGAUGGAACUGCGGGCGGCUCCUUUUUACAAUAAAAAAUUUUUUGGUUAAUUGGUACAAAGAUAACUUUGUGAAAGAUAAAACUUAUACCUGAGACGAUCCGGGGAGUAAUUAUACUUUUUGGCCCCCGGCCGCGAGGUUGGGGAGAAAAGACAUUUUCUUGUGAAAAAGGAUGCCGCGACAAUUGAGGAAAGCGACGCUUUUUACAAGUAACCAAUGGGAAUUUCUGAUCUAUCAAUUUGUUGGUAGUAUCGAGGACUACCAAGAUUAUAACGGAUAACGAUAUAGUAAGGGUUCGACAUCGGAGAGGGAGCUUUACAGAUGGCUACCACUUCUAAGGAAGGCAGCAGGCGCGUAAAUCCCCUCUUUCGACCGAAGAGGUAGUGACGACAAAUAACUCUGGGCCCCUCGGGUUUCCUUGAAGGAAUGAUUUAGAAGUAAAUUCUCUUAAGAAAUCAAUGGAGGACAAGUCUUUCAACCCGGAG